RNAcentral lists this ribosomal RNA (797 nucleotides) under Ureibacillus chungkukjangi. RNAcentral describes it as "bacterial SSU rRNA". It matches the Rfam family "Bacterial small subunit ribosomal RNA", at positions 134 to 948 of the family's 1533-position model. Lineage: Bacteria; Bacillati; Bacillota; Bacilli; Caryophanales; Caryophanaceae. The record is from RNAcentral.
UAGUUGGGGAUAACUCCGGGAAACCGGGGCUAAUACCGAAUAAUACAUUCCUUCUCCUGUUGGAAUGUUGAAAGAUGGUUUACGCUAUCGCUAUAGGAUGGGCCCGCGGCGCAUUAGCUAGUUGGUGAGGUAACGGCUCACCAAGGCGACGAUGCGUAGCCGACCUGAGAGGGUGAUCGGCCACACUGGGACUGAGACACGGCCCAGACUCCUACGGGAGGCAGCAGUAGGGAAUCUUCCACAAUGGGCGAAAGCCUGAUGGAGCAACGCCGCGUGAGUGAAGAAGGUUUUCGGAUCGUAAAACUCUGUUGUAAGGGAAGAACAAGUACAGUAGUAACUGGCUGUACCUUGACGGUACCUUAUUAGAAAGCCACGGCUAACUACGUGCCAGCAGCCGCGGUAAUACGUAGGGGCAAGCGUUGUCCGGAAUUAUUGGGCGUAAAGCGCGCGCAGGUGGUCCUUUAAGUCUGAUGUGAAAGCCCACGGCUCAACCGUGGAGGGUCAUUGGAAACUGGGGGACUUGAGUGCAGAAGAGGAAAGUGGAAUUCCAAGUGUAGCGGUGAAAUGCGUAGAGAUUUGGAGGACACCAGGGGCGAAGCGACUUUCUGGUCUGUACUGACACGGAGCGCGAAAGCGGGGGAGCAACAGGAUAGAUCCCUGGAGCCACGCCGAAACGAUGAGGCUAGUGUUAGGGGGUUCCGCCCUUAGGCUGCGCUUACGCAUUAGCACUCCCCUGGGAGGACGGCGCAGACUGAACUCAAGGAUUGACGGGGCCCCACAGCGGGGACAUGGGUUUA